ACAAGGUGGGGCAUCCCAACUCCUGUUCUUCUCUUUCUUAUUUUGAGGCUUGUAUAAUAAGUCAUCCUUUUGAUUGGAAAUUUAUAGAAAGUGUGGUAUAGAGAUUUUGAUUGAUUAUAAAAGGGAAAGUGUAAGAGAUUAAUUGAAAUUGAUUUACAUAAAUAGAGUAUUUUCACUACACAAAAUUUGAUGGGAGUAGAGUUAUGAAAAAUGAAGGAUAAUGGUUCACCUCAAUCAUGAUGAUCUAUAUAAAGAAUGAAUGGAUGAAAUAUCGUCACCCCAUAGGUCUUUGUGAUAAGAGGUCAAGAUUGAGUCUUAUAAUGACGAUAAAACUCUAACCCUAAAAACCCUACCCUCUAUGUUAUUAUGCUAGUUAUGGGGGGCUUCAUUAUCUACACUUGAACUUAGUCUCUCUUUCUCUCUCUCUGUCUCUCUCUCUCUGGUCUCUAGGGUUGGCACACGCUUCUCUAAUAUCUCUGUCUUUCUCUCUCAACUUAGCUUAGGGUUUAAUUGUAAGGGGGGCAUGCCCAAGCUAAAAGAGGCCACCCCUAGCUUAUGUGCAUUGAGAUAUGCUCAUGUGUUGAGCAUUGGUUUAACCCUAUCCCAUGUUAUGCUCUUUAGUGUUUUUCAUAGGUCUCCCAAAUUUAUGAGACAAGUUUGAACCUAUAUCCUGUGCGUUAUUGGUGGAGGAGAUACGGCGUGGGGUGUAUGAAGUCCUUAAGGAUAACUUGAGGCAAUGUAUGCGGUAUUGCUAUAUUUCAUGCUUUCUUGAUUUUAUUCCAAGCUCAUAUUUAUGUUAUGAAUAAGUUUUUGUUUUGAUGGCAAGCAAGUAAGAGUCAUUGGCAUUCUUUGUGUUUUUAUUGGUUCAAAUAUUGUAUUUAAACCAGUGGUUCAAAAAACGGAUUGGUGCCCCGAAUCGAGCACCCCAAAAACCAUUCGAAUUGGUGAAUCGGCGUUUCAGAUCGGGAAUCGGUCGGAUUCGGCUUAAAAUAAUCCAAACAAUUUUAUUAAAAAUAACUAUUAAUGUUGCUUUUU
This 1035-nucleotide long non-coding RNA is filed under the name Amborella trichopoda. RNAcentral describes it as "long non-coding RNA (ATRI_LNC002594)". The record is from RNAcentral. Lineage: Eukaryota; Viridiplantae; Streptophyta; Magnoliopsida; Amborellales; Amborellaceae.